UCCUACGGGACGCAGCAGUGAGGAAUAUUGGUCAAUGGGCGGGAGCCUGAACCAGCCAAGCCGCGUGAAGGAAGAAGGCGCCAGGCGUCGUAAACUUCUUUUGUCGGGGAACAAAGGGCGCCACGUGUGGCGUUGUGAGUGUACCCGAAGAAAAAGCAUCGGCUAACUCCGUGCCAGCAGCCGCGGUAAUACGGAGGAUGCGAGCGUUAUCCGGAUUUAUUGGGUUUAAAGGGUGCGCAGGCGGAAUGUCAAGUCAGCGGUAAAAUUUCGGGGCUCAACCCCGUCGUGCCGUUGAAACUGGCGUU
RNAcentral lists this ribosomal RNA (305 nucleotides) under uncultured bacterium. RNAcentral's name for it is "bacterial SSU rRNA". It matches the Rfam family "Bacterial small subunit ribosomal RNA", at positions 337 to 640 of the family's 1533-position model. The record is from RNAcentral.